Molecule: non-coding RNA, 219 nt
Organism: Cinara cedri
Lineage: Eukaryota; Metazoa; Arthropoda; Insecta; Hemiptera; Aphididae
Source: the annotation of a GenBank genome assembly
CGGGGUUUCGUUUUUUUCAAAUGAUUAAACUAUAUAGUAUAAAUUACCGUUGGGAUGGAGAUAUUAUUUUUUUAUUCGGACAAGGUUCGUCGUCGGAGGGUAUCCGUCCGAUAUAUUAACGAAAUGGUACGCGGGAUGGAGGUGGUGGUGGAGGGGGUAGGGGUACGGGGAUUUAAUUAUGUCCCGGCUACAAUAUCAAUUUGGUGUAAUCGUUUCUGA